RNAcentral lists this ribosomal RNA (431 nucleotides) under uncultured bacterium. Its description in RNAcentral is "partial 16S ribosomal RNA". It matches the Rfam family "Bacterial small subunit ribosomal RNA", at positions 338 to 795 of the family's 1533-position model. The record is from RNAcentral.
CCUACGGGGGGCAGCAGCAAGGAAUCUUCCACAAUGGGCGAAAGCCUGAUGGAGCAACGUCGCGUGCAGGAUGAAGGUUUUCGGAUUGUAAACUGCUUUUAUGUGCGAAGCGGUAACACAUGAAUAAGGAUCGGCUAACUCCGUGCCAGCAGCCGCGGUCAUACGGAGGAUCCAAGCGUUAUCCGGAUUUACUGGGCGUAAAGAGUGCGUAGGUGGUAAUUUAAGUGAAUAGUGAAAUCUGGUGGCUCAACCAUCAACACAUUAUUCAAACUGUAUUACUCGAGAAUGAGAGAGGUCACUGGAAUUCCCUGUGUAGGAGUGAAAUCCGUAGAUAUAGGGAGGAACACCAAUGGCGUAGGCAGGUGACUGGCUAUUCUGACACUGAGGCACGAAAGCGUGGGGAGCGAACGGGAUUAGAUACCCUUGUAGUC